UGAUAAAGGAGAGCUUUUGUUCAUUAUGUU
RNAcentral lists this non-coding RNA (30 nucleotides) under Rattus norvegicus (Norway rat). Lineage: Eukaryota; Metazoa; Chordata; Mammalia; Rodentia; Muridae. The record is from RNAcentral.